This 519-nucleotide ribosomal RNA is filed under the name uncultured Glomus. RNAcentral's name for it is "SSU rRNA". It matches the Rfam family "Eukaryotic small subunit ribosomal RNA", at positions 569 to 1091 of the family's 1831-position model. The record is from RNAcentral. Lineage: Eukaryota; Fungi; Glomeromycota; Glomeromycetes; Glomerales; Glomeraceae.
AGCAGCCGCGGUAAUUCCAGCUCCAAUAGCGUAUAUUAAAGUUGUUGCAGUUAAAAAGCUCGUAGUUGAAUUUCGGGGUCAGCAGGUUGGUCGUGCCAAUGGUAUGCACUGGCCUUGGUGAUUCCUCCCUCUUGUAGAACCGUAAUGCCAUUAAGUUGGUGUUGCGGGGAAACAGGACUGUUACUUUGAAAAAAUUAGAGUGUUUAAAGCAGGCUAACGCCUGAAUACAUUAGCAUGGAAUAAUGAAAUAGGACGAUCGAUCCUAUUUUGUUGGUUUCUAGGAUUGACGUAAUGAUUAAUAGGGAUAGUUGGGGGCAUUAGUAUUCAAUUGUCAGAGGUGAAAUUCUUGGAUUUAUUGAAGACUAACUACUGCGAAAGCAUUUGCCAAGGAUGUUUUCAUUAAUCAAGAACGAAAGUUAGGGGAUCGAAGACGAUCAGAUACCGUCGUAGUCUUAACCAUAAACUAUGCCGCUAGGGAUCGGAUGAUGUUAAUUUUUAAUGACUCAUUCGGCGCCUUAC